UGAAUGCGAGUGACCGCUAACCAACUCCAGUUGCCUUAGGCAAGAAACAGAAUUUACAUACUUGGAUAGCUCAAGAACCUACUAACAUAAAUAAUGUCAGACAUAGCUGGGUCUCGGGGCUGAAACCACUGUCAUCAGGAUUGGACCUCUCUCCCAUUUUUGUCUCUGUCUUCCAAUCUGUUGACUUAACUUUAAGCCGUCAGCAGCUUCAGGCUUGUCUCCUCUUCACUACCUGCAACUUCAGCAGAAAAAGGACUUACCUUUCCCUCUACUUCUCCGUGUCUCAUUUGCCUCUUCGGUUCUGGAAUGAUCACUAGUCACUAGUCACUGUGGAGAAGGUGAUGCUUUUAGCAAAGCCUGAGCCACAUGCCCAGCCCUGGAGCCAGGGAGACAAUUAGCCAUGCAGGGAACAGAGUGUGGCAGCAAGAAUUCUCUGGAGGGAACUUGGGGUGCCGCUGCGAGGAGUGGGCUGGCGAGAAGCACUUCCACUCGUGACAUGCAGCGAUUGUUUUCUUUGCUAUCUUUAUGCAGGACAGUUUGGGAGACAGGGAGCUACCAAAAUGAACAUGACACAGCCCUUCCCUUCACCCCAGGACUUUGUGCUCUAGCGUAGGAUCAGAGGUUUAUGGUCAAGGGAAAGUUAAAUAAGACAUCCAAGCAAAUGUGGCUGUGACAGCCUGAUGGGUGACUGCUUCAUCCUGUUCACUGUCCAGUUGCUGGGUGGUAGCUGAGGUUUGACUAUCUACCCUUCCCAGAAACAGCAUUUCCUCCUCCUUGAUGCCAUCACCAUCACCACCUGUCAGAAAGCUCCUUUCCACAGACUUAAGGAGUAGUUUUCUGCACCCUCUAGCGUCUGCGUAACCCUUCAGUGUUCAAGUGAAACUUCAACCCUAUAAGCUUUCCAACUCAAGUUCUACCUUGGUUUUCUGCUCCAGUCUGUCUCCAGAUGACCAGCUGUGUGGUACCAGGGUCACAGUCCCAGAGCUGGGAAGACUAAUGAGAAGAAGGAGGUGACUGAUCUAAGACCACACACACAUCGUCAGCAUGAUACCCACCUAUGUGGCACUCACAGAGAUUUCUGAGUGGACCGAAAAAUGGACCACACUGUUCACGAGAAGCAGAGGAAGGGCGAUCUCUCCCUUCGUGAUGGCAGAGGAGAAAGGAGGAUCUGAGCAUGGUUCCUGGAAUUCUACAGCCAGGCUUCAGCAGGCGUCAGUCACCAUGUAGGUCAGGCUGAGUGGACACUGGUCAUACGUUUGUCUUCUCCACUAGACGGUCUUAUACAUCUUGGCAUGCCCAGGGCCUGGCAGAGAGUACACGCCAAAUAAAUACUUGAGAAAUAAAUGGAAGAUGACUUCUCAGACCUUGUUAAGGAUGGGAUGGUGUACUUGUUUCAUGGCUGUGCGAUUCAUCACAGAAGCAAAGUUGUUGCAGGAUGAUAAUUACAGCUCCUAGGUACCACGUUUAGUGUUGGAUCCCCAUGCGUGGCACAGAGUGGGUGUUGAGUAAACAUUGAAUGAAUGAAUGGAUGAGUGAAACUUCUCAAUCCCUCAUGUAUAAGUUAGAUUCACGCUCUUCCAAAAAAAAAAAAAAAGUAGUUAAUUCUUUGGAACCCAAGAAUGCAGAAGUGUGGCUCCACCUAGUGGACAC
Long non-coding RNA from Cebus imitator (Panamanian white-faced capuchin), 1650 nucleotides. RefSeq lists it as uncharacterized. The transcript has 3 exons. The record is from RefSeq and is a predicted model, not a curated record. NCBI's taxonomy places the organism in Eukaryota, Metazoa, Chordata, Mammalia, Primates, Cebidae.